RNAcentral lists this ribosomal RNA (253 nucleotides) under uncultured bacterium. Its description in RNAcentral is "partial 16S ribosomal RNA". It matches the Rfam family "Bacterial small subunit ribosomal RNA", at positions 524 to 776 of the family's 1533-position model. The record is from RNAcentral.
UACAGAGGUGGCAAGCGUUGUUCGGAAUUACUGGGCGUAAAGGGCGCGUAGGCGGUCUUGCAAGUCCCGUGUGAAAUCCCUCGGCUCAACUGAGGAACUGCACGGGAAACUGUUUGGCUUGAGUUCGGGAGAGGGAAGCGGAAUUCCGGGUGUAGCGGUGAAAUGUGUAGAGAUCGGGAGGAACACCGGUGGCGAAGGCGGGUCUCUGGGCAAUUCCUGACGCUGAGGCGCGAAAGCGUGGGGAGCAAACGGG